Long non-coding RNA from Populus nigra (black poplar), 3146 nucleotides. RefSeq lists it as uncharacterized. The transcript is spliced from 6 exons. The record is from RefSeq and is a predicted model, not a curated record. Lineage: Eukaryota; Viridiplantae; Streptophyta; Magnoliopsida; Malpighiales; Salicaceae.
UGAUGGCCACUGGAGGCUUACAUAAUCGUUAACUUCAGGGCCCGUGAGAUUAGUCGAAAUGCACGCAAGCGGACCCAGACACCCACAUUAAACUAAAAAAAAAAAUCCCUCUUGCAGAAUCCAAGCAGCCACAUUUCACAUUCAUGGUGAUUUACAUUUCUGGUUUUACAUAUUCGUGAAAACUCUUCCCUAAUCUCAAACCCCCCUUCUGCGAGCAAGCUGAACGAGCGGCUAUCAUAGUGAGCUCUUCUGGCUCUACAUUGCCCUCCACUGACAUCGAGUCAAAAAGCUUCCAGUCUCAUCCCAACAGUUACGCUUAGAAUACCCAUCAGUCAUAGACAGAAAAACCAUCUCUAGCAGGAAUUCCAUCAAACAAGUGUCAAGCCAAACCCAAACAACCACGCAGAUCAUAAAAACGAGCCAACCCAUCUUGAAACAACAUAGCAUAAACAAAACCCAUCUUUCGAAUACCACAAUGAACUGAUUUCCCUCCUAAAACUCUAAAAAACUGCUCGCCGCACACUUUGAGCGCAAGAACAAAGCUCCUACAGUGCAUUUCAGCGCCAUUUUGAAGCAUUUGGCAGAAAAACAAGAAGCCACUAUGGCCCAUUUUGGCUCCAGAGUAGCCUCUAAUCAUGGUAUUCCAAUUAUAAGUACUGGGGUUUUGUAUCUGCGAAAACAGAAGACGAGCAUGAUUUAUCUCUGCAGUGUGAGAGAAGGCAAAAGGCCAAGGCAAGACAAAGCUUGGGGGUAGAUUAGCCAGACUAUAAAGGAGAAGGACUUAUUUGUACUUGUUCCAAUAUUGUGAGUCAAAAUAAUACCGCUUCUUUUCCUUCAAACGCAAUCUCGUCCUACGUUCCAGGUAGUUCCCCAUUCUUUUUACCUAAUCUCUUAAUAUAUAUGAACGGCAUCUUUGCUUAAGCCCCUUCAAUUAUUGCUUUCGAAUAUUCUCAUGGUAUUUGCUCUUUGUUUUUGAGGAUCCAAUUAAUAAGCAAAUCAUGGAGACUUGGCUGUUGACCUCAACACUCUCGUCUGCAUUGACCGAAGCAUUGACCUCUUCAAUCUCUUGGAUGUGAACCAGGCUUGGAAUAUUGGGUGUUCUUGUUCUUGAUACAUGUAAAGAGGUUUGGGCCAAUUUUGAUGCCUUGUGUGAAUCCCUUCAUCUGGGCUUAUCAAAAGAGGAGGAGGAAAGAAGAACAGAGAUUGAAAAGGAAAAACCUGAAAGCUCACCCAAAUAUGUGGUACGCCAUAACACCAUCUCCAGCUUCUUUCAGAAGAGCAGUUCGAAGCAUUCGCAGAGCAGAAAAUAGUUUGGCCGACAGGUUCUGUCAUGUUAAAAGUUUAAUAGAUGGUCAGGGAUCUCAUCAAUCAUGAUGAAUGAAGAGAACAAAAACCCAAGACAUAAGCAUACCAAGUCCACUUCAGAUUGAGCUUGGGCAGGACUACCAGCUUGCGGAGGACUUAACUUCCCAGACAUGAGUGAGCCUUUUGCUGGAGUAGCCUCAGAUUUGCCCUGUUUUGAAGCUUUUACAGAGGAAGGGAAUCUACAAGGUGCAUGAGAUAGCAGAAUCAGCAUCCUACCUGUUCAUUUCAGCUAUGAAAAACAGAAAGGUUAAAUGAUGAUGGUUUGUCCAGAGGAUCAUAAUAUGUGAGGCUAAGCAAAGCACAAGGCUAAGCUUGCUGGCUUCAUCCAACUCUCGGCCUCCAUAUUUUACGCUUAGAAUACCCAUCAGUCAUAGACAGAAAAUCCAUCUCUAGCAGGAAUUCCAUCAAACAAGUGUCAAGCACCAAACAACCACGCAGAUCAUAAAAACGAGCCAACCCAUCUUGAAACAACAUCACGGAAACAAAACCCAUCUUUCGAAUAACACAAUGAACUGAUUUCCCUCAUAAAACUGCUCGCUCGCUUUGAGCGCAAGAACAAAGCUCCUACAGUCCAUUUGAGCGCCAUUCUGAAGCAUUUGGCAGAAAAACAAGAAGCCACUAUGGCCCAUUUUGGCUUUAGAGUAGCCUCUAAUCAUGGUAUUCCAAAUAUAAGUGCUGGGGUUUUGUAUCUGCGAAAACAGAAGACGAGCAUGAUUUAUACCUGCAGUGUGAGAGAGGGCAAAAGGCCAAGGCAAGACAAAGCUUGGGGGCAGAUUAGCCAGACUAUAAAGGAGAAGGACUUAUUUGUACUUGUUCCAAGAUUUUGAGUCAAAAUAAUACCGCUUCUUUUCCUUCAAACGCAAUCUCGUCCUACGUUCCGGUAAGCAAAUCAUGGAGACUUGGCUGUUGACCUCAACACUCUCGUCUGCAUUGACCGAAGCAUUGAACUCUUCAAUAUCUUGGAUGUGAACCAGAAUUGGAAUAUUGGGUGUUCUUGUUUUUGAUACAUGUAAAGAGGUUUGGGGCACUUAUGAUGCCUUCUGUGAAUCCCUCCAUCUGGGCUUAUCAAAAGAGGAGGAGGAACGAAGCAUGUGCUCUAAGUCCGCCCAAAGUUUCAUCCUGCAUUUUCUUGAGAUUUCUGCGAGGUUUUUGUUCGAAUAAGCAACAAGGUGCACGAUAUUGUUGAAGGGCAAGUCCUUCCAUGCCUGUCCAAAAUUUGAAGUCAUUUUCAAUUCAAGGUCCACAAUAUAUUUUUUUAUAAUAUAAUAAUGCUAGAAUUACGCUCGAUCUCUGCAGCAUGCAUCGAGUAAUUGCUUUUGGAUUUCGAGUUCCACUGAUUUGAAAUGCUCGGUGUCUGUGUUGCAUACAUGUAAUCCAAAGAUUUUUGCGAGGUUUGAAAAAUUUGCCACACCGGAUCACGUCUGUACCAUCGACAGAGACCGUCAGCGCUGUGGGCAAUGACGUUUCUACUCGGAGGAGGCUAUACGAUUUCUUUUUGACAGGCAGCGGUUUCUUAUCCUUGUUCUUUACGCUCGAUCUCCUCAGCACGCAUCGAGUAAUCGCGUUUGGAUUUCAAGUUCGACUGAUUUGAAAUGCUCGGUAGCCCAAAGAAUAAAUGGUAUCUGUGCCAUCGACCGAGACCGUCAGCACUAGGGGCGUGCAAUGACGUUUGACUCCGAGGAUAGAUAGUUUAGACAUCAAAAAAAAAAAAAAAACAUACUUAUCUUGUAAUCGGAAACAUGUUUGUUCGUUUUAUAUUUAUAUUUAUAUUUAUAUUCCAA